RNAcentral lists this ribosomal RNA (274 nucleotides) under uncultured bacterium. RNAcentral's name for it is "partial 16S ribosomal RNA". It matches the Rfam family "Bacterial small subunit ribosomal RNA", at positions 523 to 796 of the family's 1533-position model. The record is from RNAcentral.
ACACGAACUGCGCGAACGUUAUUCGGAAUCAUUGGGCUUAAAGAGUUCGUAGGCGGCCUGAUAAGUUGGGUGUGAAAUCCCUCGGCUCAACCGAGGAACUGCGCCCAAUACUGUCAGGCUUGAGGGAGACAGAGGUGAGUGGAACUGAUGGUGGAGCGGUGAAAUGCGUUGAUAUCAUCAGGAACACCGGUGGCGAAAGCGGCUCACUGGGUCUCUUCUGACGCUGAGGAACGAAAGCUAGGGGAGCGAACGGGAUUAGAUACCCCGGUAGUCC